RNAcentral lists this ribosomal RNA (301 nucleotides) under uncultured bacterium. RNAcentral describes it as "partial 16S ribosomal RNA". It matches the Rfam family "Bacterial small subunit ribosomal RNA", at positions 509 to 808 of the family's 1533-position model. The record is from RNAcentral.
CAGCCGCCGCGGGAAAACGUAGGGCGCGAGCGUUAAUCGGAAUUACUGGGCGUAAAGCGUGCGCAGGCGGUUCGUUAAGACAGAUGUGAAAUCCCCGGGCUUAACCUGGGACUGCAUUUGUGACUGGCGAGCUAGAGUAUGGCAGAGGGGGGUAGAAUUCCACGUGUAGCAGUGAAAUGCGUAGAGAUGUGGAGGAAUACCGAUGGCGAAGGCAGCCCCCUGGGCCAAUACUGACGCUCAUGCACGAAAGCGUGGGGAGCAAACAGGAUUAGAUACCCCGGUAGUCCCUGUCUCUUAUACA